Molecule: ribosomal RNA, 519 nt
Filed under: uncultured bacterium
Lineage: Bacteria
Description: partial 16S ribosomal RNA
Rfam family: Bacterial small subunit ribosomal RNA
Source: RNAcentral
GACGAACGCUGGCGGCGUGCCUAAUACAUGCAAGUCGAGCGAGUCUGCCUUGAAGAUCGGAGUGCUUGCACUCUGUGAAACAAGAUACAGGCUAGCGGCGGACGGGUGAGUAACACGUGGGUAACCUGCCCAAGAGAUCGGGAUAACACCUGGAAACAGAUGCUAAUACCGGAUAACAACAGAUGAUGCCUAUCAACUGUUUAAAAGAUGGUUCUGCUAUCACUCUUGGAUGGACCUGCGGUGCAUUAGCUAGUUGGUAGGGUAACGGCCUACCAAGGCGAUGAUGCAUAGCCGAGUUGAGAGACUGAUCGGCCACAUUGGGACUGAGACACGGCCCAAACUCCUACGGGAGGCAGCAGUAGGGAAUCUUCCACAAUGGACGCAAGUCUGAUGGAGCAACGCCGCGUGAGUGAAGAAGGGUUUCGGCUCGUAAAGCUCUGUUGUUGGUGAUGAAGGACAGGGGUAGUAACUGACCUUUGUUUGACGGUAAUCAAUUAGAAAGUCACGGCUAACUAAGUG